AAAUUGAAGAGUUUGAUCAUGGCUCAGAUUGAACGCUGGCGGCAGGCCUAACACAUGCAAGUCGAGCGGUAGCACAGAGAGCUUGCUCUCGGGUGACGAGCGGCGGACGGGUGAGUAAUGUCUGGGAAACUGCCUGAUGGAGGGGGAUAACUACUGGAAACGGUAGCUAAUACCGCAUAACGUCGUAAGACCAAAGUGGGGGACCUUCGGGCCUCAUGCCAUCAGAUGUGCCCAGAUGGGAUUAGCUGGUAGGUGGGGUAACGGCUCACCUAGGCGACGAUCCCUAGCUGGUCUGAGAGGAUGACCAGCCACACUGGAACUGAGACACGGUCCAGACUCCUACGGGAGGCAGCAGUGGGGAAUAUUGCACAAUGGGCGCAAGCCUGAUGCAGCCAUGCCGCGUGUGUGAAGAAGGCCUUCGGGUUGUAAAGCACUUUCAGCGGGGAGGAAGGCGGUGAGGUUAAUAACCUCAUCGAUUGACGUUACCCGCAGAAGAAGCACCGGCUAACUCCGUGCCAGCAGCCGCGGUAAUACGGAGGGUGCAAGCGUUAAUCGGAAUUACUGGGCGUAAAGCGCACGCAGGCGGUCUGUCAAGUCGGAUGUGAAAUCCCCGGGCUCAACCCGGGAACUGCAUUCGAAACUGGCAGGCUAGAGUCUUGUAGAGGGGGUAGAAUUCCGGUGUAGCGGUGAAAUGCGUAGAGAUCUGGAGGAAUACCGGUGGCGAAGGCGGCCCCCUGGACAAAGACUGACGCUCAGGUGCGAAAGCGUGGGGAGCAAACAGGAUUAGAUACCCUGGUAGUCCACGCUGUAAACGAUGUCGAUUUGGAGGUUGUGCCCUUGAGGCGUGGCUUCCGGAGCUAACGCGUUAAAUCGACCGCCUGGGGAGUACGGCCGCAAGGUUAAAACUCAAAUGAAUUGACGGGGGCCCGCACAAGCGGUGGAGCAUGUGGUUUAAUUCGAUGCAACGCGAAGAACCUUACCUGGUCUUGACAUCCACAGAACUUUCCAGAGAUGGAUUGGUGCCUUCGGGAACUGUGAGACAGGUGCUGCAUGGCUGUCGUCAGCUCGUGUUGUGAAAUGUUGGGUUAAGUCCCGCAACGAGCGCAACCCUUAUCCUUUGUUGCCAGCGGUCCGGCCGGGAACUCAAAGGAGACUGCCAGUGAUAAACUGGAGGAAGGUGGGGAUGACGUCAAGUCAUCAUGGCCCUUACGACCAGGGCUACACACGUGCUACAAUGGCAUAUACAAAGAGAAGCGACCUCGCGAGAGCAAGCGGACCUCAUAAAGUAUGUCGUAGUCCGGAUUGGAGUCUGCAACUCGACUCCAUGAAGUCGGAAUCGCUAGUAAUCGUAGAUCAGAAUGCUACGGUGAAUACGUUCCCGGGCCUUGUACACACCGCCCGUCACACCAUGGGAGUGGGUUGCAAAAGAAGUAGGUAGCUUAACCUUCGGGAGGGCGCUUACCACUUUGUGAUUCAUGACUGGGGUGAAGUCGUAACAAGGUAACCGUAGGGGAACCUGCGGUUGGAUCACCUCCUUA
This 1538-nucleotide ribosomal RNA is filed under the name Klebsiella variicola. RNAcentral's name for it is "bacterial SSU rRNA". It matches the Rfam family "Bacterial small subunit ribosomal RNA". Lineage: Bacteria; Pseudomonadati; Pseudomonadota; Gammaproteobacteria; Enterobacterales; Enterobacteriaceae. The record is from RNAcentral.